UNGUAGGCGGCUGGUCGCGUCUGUCGUGAAAUCNUCUGGCUUAACUGGGGGCUUGCGGUGGNUACGGGCCGGCUUGAGUGCGGUAGGGGAGACUGGAACUCCUGGUGUAGCGGUGGAAUGCGCAGAUAUCAGGAAGAACACCGGUGGCGAAGGCGGGUCUCUGGGCCGUUACUGACGCUGAGGAGCGAAAGCGUGGGGAGCGAACAGGAUUAGAUACCCUGGUAGUCCACGCCGUAAACGUUGGGCACUAGGUGUGGGGGGCCUUUUCCGGGUCUUCCGCGCCGUAGCUAACGCAUUAAGUGCCCCGCCUGGGGAGUACGGCCGCAAGGCUAAAACUCAAAGGAAUUGACGGGGGCCCGCACAAGCGGCGGAGCAUGCGGAUUAAUUCGAUGCAACGCGAAGAACCUUACCAAGGCUUGACAUGUGCCGGUCUGCUCCGGAGACGGGGUUUCCUCCCUUGUGGGGGCUGGUUCACAGGUGGUGCAUGGUUGUCGUCAGCUCGUGUCGUGAGAUGUUGGGUUAAGUCCCGCAACGAGCGCAACCCUUGUCUCGUGUUGCCAGCACGUUGUGGUGGGGACUCGCGGGAGACUGCCGGGGUCAACUCGGAGGAAGGUGGGGAUGACGUCAAAUCAUCAUGCCCCUUAUGUCUUGGGCUUCACGCAUGCUACAAUGGCCGGUACAGAGGGCUGCGAUACCGUGAGGUGGAGCGAAUCCCUUAAAGCCGGUCUCAGUUCGGAUCGGUGU
This 744-nucleotide ribosomal RNA is filed under the name uncultured bacterium. Its description in RNAcentral is "bacterial SSU rRNA". It matches the Rfam family "Bacterial small subunit ribosomal RNA", at positions 569 to 1304 of the family's 1533-position model. The record is from RNAcentral.